GGGCCGAUGGGGUAGCUUGGUAUCCUUCGAGGAUCGGGUCCUCGGUACCUCGGUUCAAAUCCGAGUCGGCCCA
RNAcentral lists this transfer RNA (73 nucleotides) under Salinirubellus salinus. RNAcentral describes it as "tRNA-Pro". The record is from RNAcentral. Lineage: Archaea; Methanobacteriati; Methanobacteriota; Halobacteria; Halobacteriales; Natronomonadaceae.